UGCUCUGGGGCUGGCCUUGCACACGCUUCCCCAGACUUCGCUCCUCCAGCUGCUCUGCUACCGAUGACCAGGCCCUCCAUGUCCCUUCAAAGUGAGGAACGGCUCUCAGCUCUCUCCUGGCCCGUCAUCCUUGCUGAGCAGAGCAGGCUCUGCCCCUAGGCGCUGGACAGCCUCUCCCCACAGUGUCACCCACUGGACAGUCAGCGAGCUCAAACUCUGCCCUGGGAGGGCAGCCACAGCGGAGGCAGGGCCUGCUCCAAAAGUGCUGCCAGAAAAGUUGUUCAAGGUUGUUCCACAAAUAGUAAAUUUUCUCCCGUGUUGUCUUUAAUAGGAGCUUAAAAUGGAUCUUUAGAAGGCUGCGUGGGUUGAACAGCAGGAAAUUUUAACCAAGUCAUUAAUAGCUAAUGACGGCCGUCCCUGGUCCACUGGAAGGAGGAGACGGAGACCAGCUCAAGGCAAGGGGAAGUGGUAGCUUCUUGCUGGACACAUUUGUUAGUCUAAGGUUGGGUAAAUCUUUUUUUUUUUGCGGCAGGGUCUCCCUUUGUAGUUCAAGCUGACCCCUGAGCUCACUGUAUAGCCCCGGAGGGCCUUGAACUCUGGGCAAUCCUCCUGCCUCAGCCUUUCAAGUGCUGGGAUUACAGGCAUGCACCUGGCUCUGAUUGGGUAUAUCUUCCUGGCUCAUUGACUUUUGUUUGUGGUUUGUUUAUAGAUAUUACAUUAUGUAGAUCUUUAUAUAUGUUCAUAUAGCUAUAUUUAUGUCCCAUAAACUCUUCUGGAUUUGUUUUUCCUACCUGUGUUUUAAUGUUAUUUUAAAUCAACAUAAGAUAUCUUAAAUAUUCCUUUCUGCACUUGAGCCUGGCAAUGAUUCAUUUAAAUAUGCCCUACUAAGAAUCACAGGUCAGAUGAAUAUCCUGUAUUGAGAAUAUACAGAAAGCAUGCAAAACUCAAUAGUAAGAAAUCAACUCAGUAAAAAGAGUCAAAGGUUUGAGAAGACAUUUCCCCCCAAAUGGUAAGCACACAUGUUAAAAAAUGCUCAGUCUCAUUAGCCCUUGGGAAAAUGCAAAUUAAACCGUAGUGAGCUACCACCAGAUACCAAGCUUUAGGGAGGGUGUAUGAAAGGGUGGACAUGCAGGCUGGUGAGAGGUAAAGAAGCAACAUCAUCAUUUUGCAAGGCAGUUUGCUAUUCUCUACAGAGUGUUUAACAUGUAUGGUAAGACUCAACCACGCCAUUCCUGAGUACUUAACCUGAGAGAAGUAAGAACAUAUAUCUAUGUGAAUAUGCGUGUAAGAAAGUUCACAGCAGCUUCAUUUAUAAUAGUCUCAAAUUGGAAACAACCCAAAUGUCCAUCAAUAAAUGGAUGAAUAAACAAAGUAUGGUAUGUCCUACAAUUGAAUAGUACCCUAGAAUAAAACAGAAUAAAAUAUUGGUACUUGCAUUAACUUGGGUUAACCUAAGAAUAAUUACCCUAAGUGAAAAACUAUUUUUUUUCAGAAAUAAUAGGGAAUACUGUGAGAUUCUAUUUACAUAAUAUUCUAGAAAAUACAAAUGAAUCUACAGAAAGAGUUCCAGUUCCCUGUGGACCUGGAUGAGGGAUUCUAAAGGCAUACUAAGAAGUUUGGAGAUGAUAUAUAUGUCCAUUAAGCUCAUUAUAGGGAACGAUUCAUGUAAAUAAGUAUAGGUCAAAAUUAAUCAAAUUGUGUAUUAGGCAUGUUUAAGUCAUUGCUUAUCAAUUAAACCUUAAUAAAGCUUUCUAAAAAAUA
Molecule: non-coding RNA, 1761 nt
Organism: Heterocephalus glaber (naked mole-rat)
Lineage: Eukaryota; Metazoa; Chordata; Mammalia; Rodentia; Bathyergidae
Source: RefSeq, a predicted model, not a curated record